AACGCAACUUGCGCCCUAUUAGGGCAUGUCUGUUUGAGUACCGCAACCUCUUAUGCAGCAAUGCGAAUUGAUCAUGGCGUUGGGCCUUGAUUUAAAGAGAGUAUGUGGUAUCGAGCUAGAGCUCGGACACUAUGUGCUAGAGACGCAAGUCUUCUCAUAGAGUUCCUGCCUAAUGCUAGAUAAAAUUAACCUUUUAUUUGGUCUCAAAUCAGGCAAGACUACCCGCUGAACUUAA
This 235-nucleotide unclassified non-coding RNA is filed under the name uncultured fungus. RNAcentral describes it as "partial contains 5.8S ribosomal RNA, internal transcribed spacer 2, and large subunit ribosomal RNA". The record is from RNAcentral. Lineage: Eukaryota; Fungi.